CUACGGGCUGCUCCAGUGAGGAAUAUUGCACAAUGGGGGGAACCCUGAUGCAGCAACGCCGCGUGGAGGAUGACGCAUUUCGGUGUGUAAACUCCUUUUAUAUGUCAAGAAAAUGACGGUAGCAUAUGAAUAAGCACCGGCUAACUCCGUGCCAGCAGCCGCGGUAAUACGGAGGGUGCAAGCGUUACUCGGAAUCACUGGGCGUAAAGGACGCGUAGGCGGGUUGGAAAGCCAGGUGUGAAAUCCUAUAGCUUAACUGUAGAACUGCACUUGAAACUUCUAAUCUAGAGUAUGGGAGGGGGAGAUGGAAUUAGUGGUGUAGGGGUAAAAUCCGUAGAUAUCACUAGGAAUACCUAAAGCGAAGGCGAUCUCCUGGAACAUUACUGACGCUAAGGCGUGAAAGCGUGGGGAGCAAACAGGAUUAGAUACCCCGGUAGUC
This 439-nucleotide ribosomal RNA is filed under the name uncultured bacterium. RNAcentral's name for it is "partial 16S ribosomal RNA". It matches the Rfam family "Bacterial small subunit ribosomal RNA", at positions 339 to 795 of the family's 1533-position model. The record is from RNAcentral.